AACUUAUUAAGAGAAGUUGAGGGAUUUGGCCCGUUGACGCUUCAGCAACCACUUUUAACAAAGUACGGUGCUACUACCAACGAUUGAUGUCGAAUGAUAAGUC
This 103-nucleotide non-coding RNA is filed under the name Staphylococcus microti. RNAcentral's name for it is "SAM-I sequence". It matches the Rfam family "SAM riboswitch aptamer (S box leader)". Rfam says of the family: The SAM riboswitch is found upstream of a number of genes which code for proteins involved in methionine or cysteine biosynthesis in Gram-positive bacteria. The SAM riboswitch acts at the level of transcription termination control. The predicted structure consists of a complex stem-loop region followed by a single stem loop terminator region. The record is from RNAcentral. Lineage: Bacteria; Bacillati; Bacillota; Bacilli; Caryophanales; Staphylococcaceae.